This 83-nucleotide transfer RNA is filed under the name Thermoplasmatales archaeon. RNAcentral describes it as "tRNA-Leu". It matches the Rfam family "tRNA". From Rfam's summary of the family: Transfer RNA (tRNA) molecules are approximately 80 nucleotides in length. Their secondary structure includes four short double-helical elements and three loops (D, anti-codon, and T loops). Further hydrogen bonds mediate the characteristic L-shaped molecular structure. tRNAs have two regions of fundamental functional importance: the anti-codon, which is responsible for specific mRNA codon recognition, and the 3' end, to which the tRNAs corresponding amino acid is attached (by aminoacyl-tRNA synthetases). tRNAs cope with the degeneracy of the genetic code in two manners: having more than one tRNA (with a specific anti-codon) for a particular amino acid; and 'wobble' base-pairing, i.e. permitting non-standard base-pairing at the 3rd anti-codon position. Lineage: Archaea; Methanobacteriati; Thermoplasmatota; Thermoplasmata; Thermoplasmatales. RNAcentral also lists the same sequence under 2 other names. The record is from RNAcentral.
GCAGGGGUAGCCAAGCGGACAACGGCGCAAGGUUCAGGGCCUUGUGGCGAAGGCCUUCGUGGGUUCGAAUCCCACCCCCUGCA